RNAcentral lists this ribosomal RNA (467 nucleotides) under uncultured bacterium. RNAcentral describes it as "partial 16S ribosomal RNA". It matches the Rfam family "Bacterial small subunit ribosomal RNA", at positions 29 to 507 of the family's 1533-position model. The record is from RNAcentral.
ACGAACGCUGGCGGCGUGCUUAAAACAUGCAAGUCGAACGGAAAGGACCUGCUUGUGUGGGGUGCUCGAGUGGCGAACGGGUGAGUAACAAGUGAGUAACAUGCCCUUGACUUUGGGAUAACUUCAGGAAACUGGGGCUAAUACUGGAUAGGAGCACCUGCUGCAUGGUGGGGGAUGGAAAGUUUCGGCGGUUGGGGAUGGACUCGCGGCUUAUCAGCUUGUUGGUGGGGUAGUGGCUUACCAAGGCUUUGACGGGUAGCCGGCCUGAGAGGGUGACCGGCCACAUUGGGACUGAGAUACGGCCCAGACUCCUACGGUAGGCAGCAGUGGAGAAUAUUGCACAAUGGGCGGAAGCCUGAUGCAGCAACGCCGCGUUCGGGAUGACGGCCUUCGGGUUGUAAACCGCUUUCGCCUGUGACGAAGCGUGAGUGACGGUAAUUGGUAAAGAAGCACCGGCUAACUACGUG